Long non-coding RNA from Maniola jurtina (meadow brown), 64 nucleotides. RefSeq lists it as uncharacterized. The record is from RefSeq and is a predicted model, not a curated record. The transcript has 3 exons. Lineage: Eukaryota; Metazoa; Arthropoda; Insecta; Lepidoptera; Nymphalidae.
GUAUACAAAAUUCCAUCGAGUUUCAUUGGUUAGUAUUCAAAUGAGAGAGGAACUACCUUUGUAU